Molecule: ribosomal RNA, 253 nt
Filed under: uncultured bacterium
Lineage: Bacteria
Description: partial 16S ribosomal RNA
Rfam family: Bacterial small subunit ribosomal RNA
Source: RNAcentral
UACGUAGGGUGCAAGCGUUAAUCGGAAUUACUGGGCGUAAAGCGUGCGCAGGCGGUUGUGUAAGUCAGAUGUGAAAUCCCCGGGCUCAACCUGGGAACUGCAUUUGUGACUGCAAGGCUAGAGUACGGUAGAGGGGGAUGGAAUUCCGCGUGUAGCAGUGAAAUGCGUAGAUAUUGGGAGGAACACCAGUGGCGAAGGCGGCUCGCUGGACCGGUUCUGACGCUGAGGCGCGAAAGCGUGGGGAGCAAACGGG